RNAcentral lists this ribosomal RNA (498 nucleotides) under uncultured Actinomycetes bacterium. RNAcentral's name for it is "bacterial SSU rRNA". It matches the Rfam family "Bacterial small subunit ribosomal RNA", at positions 8 to 522 of the family's 1533-position model. The record is from RNAcentral. Lineage: Bacteria; Bacillati; Actinomycetota; Actinomycetes.
AGAGUUUGAUCAUGGCUCAGGACGAACGCUGGCGGCGUGCUUAACACAUGCAAGUCGAACGGAAAGGCCCUUCGGGGUACUCGAGUGGCGAACGGGUGAGUAACACGUGGGUGAUCUGCCCUGCACUUUGGGAUAAGCCUGGGAAACUGGGUCUAAUACCGGAUAUACCUCAUGGACUGCAUGGUUUGUGGGGGAAAGCUUUUGCGGUGUGGGAUGGGCCCGCGGCCUAUCAGCUUGUUGGUGAGGUUAUGGCUUACCAAGGCGACGACGGGUAGCCGGCCUGAGAGGGUGACCGGCCACACUGGGACUGAGAUACGGCCCAGACUCCUACGGGAGGCAGCAGUGGGGAAUAUUGCACAAUGGGCGCAAGCCUGAUGCAGCGACGCCGCGUGAGGGAUGACGGCCUUCGGGUUGUAAACCUCUUUCAGCAGGGACGAAGCGAAAGUGACGGUACCUGUAGAAGAAGGACCGGCCAACUACGUGCCAGCAGCCGCGGUA